CUACGUGCCAGCAGCCGCGGUAAUACGGAAGGUCCAGGCGUUAUCCGGAUUUAUUGGGUUUAAAGGGAGCGUAGGCCGUGGAUUAAGCGUGUUGUGAAAUGUAGACGCUCAACGUCUGAAUUGCAGCGCGAACUGGUUCACUUGAGUAUGCACAACGUAGGCGGAAUUCGUCGUGUAGCGGUGAAAUGCUUAGAUAUGACGAAGAACUCCGAUUGCGAAGGCAGCUUACGGGAGCACAACUGACGCUGAAGCUCGAAGGUGCGGGUAUCAAACAGGAUUAGAUACCCUGGUAGUCCGCACAGUAAACGAUGGAUGCCCGCUGUUGGUACCUGGUAUCAGCGGCUAAGCGAAAGCAUUAAGCAUCCCACCUGGGGAGUACGCCGGCAACGGUGAAACUCAAAGGAAUUGACGGGGACCCGCACAAGCGGUGGAGCAUGUGGUUUAAUUCGACGCAACGCGAAGAACCUUACCCGGUCUUGAGAUCC
Molecule: ribosomal RNA, 485 nt
Filed under: uncultured bacterium
Lineage: Bacteria
Description: bacterial SSU rRNA
Rfam family: Bacterial small subunit ribosomal RNA
Source: RNAcentral